Molecule: ribosomal RNA, 1155 nt
Filed under: Salmonella enterica subsp. enterica serovar Infantis
Lineage: Bacteria; Pseudomonadati; Pseudomonadota; Gammaproteobacteria; Enterobacterales; Enterobacteriaceae
Description: partial 23S ribosomal RNA
Source: RNAcentral
GCUUAGAAGCAGCCACCAUUUAAAKAGUGCGUAAUAGCUCACUGGUCGAGUGACUCUGCGCCGAAAAUGUACCGGGGCUAAACGUAUCACCGAAGCUGUGGAUUGACAUCUWWGAUGUCAGUGGUAGGAGAGCGUUCUAAGGGCGUUGAAGCUAGACCGUAAGGACUGGUGGAGCGCUUAGAAGUGAGAAUGCCGGUAUGAGUAGCGAAAGAUGAGUGAGAAUCUCAUCCACCGAAUGCCUAAGGUUUCCUGAGGAAGGCUCGUCCGCUCAGGGUUAGUCGGGACCUAAGCCGAGGCUGAAAAGCGUAGGCGAUGGACAACAGGUUGAUAUUCCUGUACCACCUUUAAAUCGUUUGAGCAAUGGGGGGACGCAGGAGGAUAGGGUAAGCGUGCUGUUGGAUUAGCACGUCCAAGCAGUUAGGCUGGUAAUGAGGCAAAUCCCAUUACCACAUAAGCGGAGCUGUGACGGCGAGGGAAAUAUAGUACCGAAGUUCYUGAUUCCACACUGCCAAGAAAAGCCUCUAGYGAGAUUUAGGGUGCCCGUACCGCAAACCGACACAGGUAGGCGAGGAGAGAAUCCUAAGGUGAGCGAGAGAACUCUCGUUAAGGAACUCGGCAAAAUGACCCCGUAACUUCGGGAGAAGGGGUGCUCUUGCGGGUGCAAGCCUGCGAGAGCCGCAGUGAAUAGGCCCAGGCGACUGUUUAGCAAAAACACAGGUCUCUGCGAAGCCGCAAGGCGAAGUAUAGGGGCUGACACCUGCCCGGUGCUGGAAGGUUAAGAGGAGGGGUUAGCACGUUAGUGCGAAGCUCUGAAUUGAAGCCCCAGUAAACGGCGGCCGUAACUAUAACGGUCCUAAGGUAGCGAAAUUCCUUGUCGGGUAAGUUCCGACCCGCACGAAAGGUGUAACGAUCUGGGCACUGUCUCAACGAGAGACUCGGUGAAAUUAUAGUACCUGUGAAGAUGCAGGUUACCCGCGACAGGACGGAAAGACCCCGUGGAGCUUUACUGCAGCCUGAUAUUGAAUUUUGGUACAGCUUGUACAGGAUAGGUAGGAGCCUUGGAAGCCGGAGCGCYAGCUUCGGUGGAGGCAUUGGUGGGAUACUACCCUGGCUGUAUUGACAUUCUAACCCGCACCCCUGAUCGGGGUGGGAGAC